Molecule: Y RNA, 110 nt
Filed under: Propithecus coquereli (Coquerel's sifaka)
Lineage: Eukaryota; Metazoa; Chordata; Mammalia; Primates; Indriidae
Description: Y RNA (ENSPCOG00000003615.1)
Rfam family: Y RNA
About the family: Y RNAs are components of the Ro ribonucleoprotein particle (Ro RNP), in association with Ro60 and La proteins.
Source: Rfam by way of RNAcentral
GGCUCUGAAGGUAGUGAUUUAUCUCACUUGAUUGUUCACAAUCAGUUAUAGAUUGAACUCCUUAUUCUACUACUUUCCCCCUUCUCACCACUGCACUUGACUAGCCUAAA